UAAAGAAUACGCCGCGGAGGCGAUGGAAUACGUCGCAGAGGCGAGAUUGUGUCUAGUGAUGUGGGAAGGAGCUGUCGAAGGUGGAGCCGAUAACUGGGGUGAAGUCGUAACAAGGUACC
This 119-nucleotide ribosomal RNA is filed under the name uncultured bacterium. Its description in RNAcentral is "partial 16S ribosomal RNA". The record is from RNAcentral.